AGUAUAUAAAGGGUUAGCUAACGCCCAAAUUUUCUUGCCAUUUACACAUGCAAUGCAGCCUACAUUUCUGUAGGCAGCAAAUGCAGGCAUCAUUUUGAUUGCUUGAAUUCUUUUGUUUAAUUUUUUACUAGACAUUUAACUUAGCACUCAAAUCCCACUGAUCCCUUAGAGACUGCAUUUGGAUAAGGAAAACAAAGUUCCUAAUAUAGAGAAGUUUAAAAAAAAAAAAAAUCCUGGGCCCUUGUAAACAUUUGAGAAAUAGACUUUUAGUGUAGCGCUGCAAAUACAUAUUUAGAGUGCAGAAACUUAGGUACCUUUAUUAUCUAUCAUCAUCCUGGUUUUCUUAUCUUUCAGUGACCAACUAUAGAGUCGGUCACAUAUUUAUUUCCUAUAUGUCUUUAUUUCUUGAAAGGUUUAGUAAAAACAGUGUAAAAAUUGACAUAUCUUCAUAAAAUGAUUCACACCAUUUCUUCAAUGAGCUAGCUUCAAUUUUCAUUAAAUGUUGCUUUUCUCCACGUCUCUACAUGUUAAAUGUAACUUUAUGAAGUACAUUAGCAGCCAAUAAUAUUAACUUGUAUGUAAUAGUUUACUUGUAGGAAUUUGAAAGCAGGUGGAACUUGAAGGUAAUUGAGAUUAAGUGAAUUUAAGAUUAAAUAGCUUCAUUUUAUAUAAACAGUUAAUUUCAUGCAUAUUUUAUGGACAACUUAAAAGUGAAAAAUUCUGAUAAGGUGAACUAAAUUUUUCAUUAUUGAUAUAAGUAACGUGACUUUAAAUCUGUUACCUUAAUAAUUAAUUUCUAAACAAACAAAACAGGUAUAAAAAUAAUCAUGGACUAUAUUCAUUAGGUCAAGUAAAUAAGAAUAAAAACUUCCUAGGUUUUGUCUUGGCCAUAUAAGGUCUUUGAGGUGUUUUGGGUUCUUUUGUGUUGAUUGAUAGAUUUAACUUUGCCUCUCUUCUGAGAAGUUUCUCCCUCUUUGUCAAUAGGUGUCUGAUGAUUUGUGAGCCUCAAGUGACUACUCUGUGGAAUCAUCUGUCCUUGCCUUUGAAUUAGCUUUCCCUAGGCCAUGAGUCAACAUUAGUAGUUUAUACAUCCAAAUUGAUGACAAGAGCACCUCAAAGGCAGCAGCCUCAAGGAGCAGCCAUGGCCCCAGACUUGUCGCACGGAUGCAGAAAACUUAAUGGAGGAGGCUGAGGUCAGAAUGGGAAGAGUUUUUAAAAAAUAAAAAGGGGAGCUAAUAUGUGAGGA
RNAcentral lists this long non-coding RNA (1246 nucleotides) under Homo sapiens (human). RNAcentral describes it as "mir-99a-let-7c cluster host gene". Lineage: Eukaryota; Metazoa; Chordata; Mammalia; Primates; Hominidae. The record is from RNAcentral.